RNAcentral lists this ribosomal RNA (450 nucleotides) under uncultured bacterium. RNAcentral's name for it is "partial 16S ribosomal RNA". It matches the Rfam family "Bacterial small subunit ribosomal RNA", at positions 354 to 796 of the family's 1533-position model. The record is from RNAcentral.
GUGGGGAAUCUUCCACAAUGGACGAAAGUCUGAUGGAGCAACGCCGCGUGAGUGAAGAAGGGUUUCGGCUCGUAAAGCUCUGUUGUCGGGGACGAAUGUGCAGUAUUUGAAUAAAGUAUUGCAAUGACGGUACCUGACGAGGAAGCCACGGCUAACUACGUGCCAGCAGCCGCGGUAAUACGUAGGUGGCAAGCGUUGUCCGGAAUUAUUGGGCGUAAAGGGAGCGCAGGCGGGAAGGUAAGUCGGUCUUAAAAGUGCGGGGCUCAACCCCGUGAUGGGAUCGAAACUAUCUUUCUUGAGUGCAGGAGAGGAAAGUGGAAUUCCUAGUGUAGCGGUGAAAUGCGUAGAUAUUAGGAGGAACACCAGUGGCGAAGGCGACUUUCUGGACUGUAACUGACGCUGAGGCUCGAAAGCCAGGGGAGCGAACGGGAUUAGAAACCCUGGUAGUCC